Molecule: long non-coding RNA, 469 nt
Filed under: Parus major (Great Tit)
Lineage: Eukaryota; Metazoa; Chordata; Aves; Passeriformes; Paridae
Description: lncRNA (ENSPMJG00000015856.1)
Source: RNAcentral
GCCUCCACUGUCACUGCUGCUGCUGCAGUGUUGCCCAGAGUUGCACUGAAGAGCCGAGUGGGGCUCUGGAACCUCACAUCAAACGGGGCUCUGUGAUCUCAUGACGAAGUGGAAUCUUAACUCAGCUCAACAUCUGAUCCUUAGUCCUUUGCCAGUGCUCCCCAAUGUAUGCCCAUAUUGGCUGUCAACUCCUGCACCUCACCUCUAUUCAAUUCCCUCAUUCUGCACAGGCCUGGAUGGAGCACCAGUAGAGAAUGGUGCAGCCCAUGUUUUCCCACAAGCUGCCCUCUGGAUUGCCUGGCUCUCUGGGGGCAGCCCACUCUUGUCACAGUGCCAGGAGAUGGCCGGAAAGGAAAACGUCUGGUGCUGCAACAUCAUAUGAAGGCUCCAUUAAAAAACCCAACUUGUUUUGGCACGUUCACUGUUUCCUACUAAUACAAGCAGAAAAAUAAACUUGAUGUUUGAAUCA